GGACAUCACUGUGCUCAUUGUGAAAACAGACAAGGAGGCGAAUGCAAUUGCAUCAAGUCUAGUGCUCCAUGGUGGUAAGCCUGACGUCGAUGAGAAUGUGGGAGUCAUCAUCGGAGCAGUUGUUGGUGCCAUAAUAGGAGUGGCACUGGUUGCUUUUCUGGUCAUAUACUGCAUGAGGAAGAAGGAGCCAGAAA
Molecule: long non-coding RNA, 194 nt
Organism: Macrobrachium nipponense
Lineage: Eukaryota; Metazoa; Arthropoda; Malacostraca; Decapoda; Palaemonidae
Exons: 3
Source: RefSeq, a predicted model, not a curated record